Molecule: non-coding RNA, 368 nt
Organism: Podarcis muralis (Common wall lizard)
Lineage: Eukaryota; Metazoa; Chordata; Lepidosauria; Squamata; Lacertidae
Source: RefSeq, a predicted model, not a curated record
GAGAGUCCAGAGAAGCCACUGCCUUUCCCUCCAGAGCUGAGGAACAGGGUCUUGGAAUCCUGUGAUCUAAAUCACCUUGUGGAGGAUGCCAUGAAACAAUGGGAAGGUAAUGGAAAUUGGCUGCCAGGAUUUCACACUGGGAUUUCUAUUAUUUCUUCAGAACUGAACAUGCCAGGCUCUUACUGCAUGGAAUUGCGUAACCCCAGGAUACCUUCCUUCUUGGGGCUCCAGCCUUCAUUUCCUGUCCCCCCAGAAUGGCGCUGGAUCCUGUAAAGGAAGCCUGAACCAGAGGAUGCUGUGUUAUACAGAAAAGAGACUCAGAAAGUGGCACCUUGGGUUACAGAUGCUUCAGGUUACAGACUCUGCUC